This 1468-nucleotide long non-coding RNA is filed under the name Homo sapiens (human). RNAcentral's name for it is "SOX2 overlapping transcript". The record is from RNAcentral. Lineage: Eukaryota; Metazoa; Chordata; Mammalia; Primates; Hominidae.
GGAGGAGAAGGAAAGUCGCUCAAGCAGUGGACAGAGCGGAGAAAGCGACUUCGGGUUGGUUGAAGGUUCAGCCUGAGAAAACUCCUGAGCAUGUGCGAAAAAGAAAAGAAGAAAAGAAAAGUAAAGAAAAGAAAAAAGGAAAAAGGGCAAGCUCCUGAGUGGAUCUCUCAGGGAGCCACCAGACAGGUAAAAACAUACAACCAAAGUUUUUGAGAACAAGGUCCAUAUUGAUCUCUCUGGCCCUUGCAAGCUGCACCAGGAAUGUGGGCUGCCAUUUUCAUGUCCACUGCCUGACUGGGGAAGUGGGAGAUGGUAGAUGGGUUAAAAUGCUACGACACUCUUUUAUCAAAGUUUAGCAACUUCUUUCUGUUUAAGUUUUCCCAUCAUUGUUGUAAGUUUUUUAUUAGAUUCCAGAGUUCUGAAAAAGUUGAUUCUAACAUUUUUUUGGCUUAAUUGUUACUUUAAUGGAAGGACUGAGUUUUAGAGUUCCCUACUCUGCCAUUUUUUGUAAUAUCAGUCCUGUUAUUUAUUUGGAAGAUAUUGAUUUCUUUUGUUUUAUCAAGUGGUUAUUUUGACUCAGCUCAAACUAAAAAGUUGGCCUUCCUGUGGAGAAUGAUAGCUUUAAUUUCAGUUUGUUAUUUUAUCUUAUCUGGUCUGGCUGACAUUUGUCCUGUACAAACAUGGUAUAAAAGUCAGCCAGAGAUUUGGGCAGAGUUUAUACACAAAAUUUGGGACACUUUUUUAUGGCUGUUUUCUUUCUGGGAUGUCUUUUACUCUGCAAAUCUUGUGGUUACCUUGAUGCCCAGAGUGGGAAAGUCCAUGGAGAAAGUAGCUGGUUUCAGUUUUUAGUUAUCCAAAUGUCAUGAACUUGGGCCUCGGUUUUUUGCCUUUUAAGAAAAACUUAUUAUUAUGGUAAAAUACAUAUAAAAGUUACCAUCUUAACUAUUUUAAGUGUUCGUUGGUAUUAAAUACAUUCAUAAUGUUGUGCAACCAUCACCAUCUUCCAUCUCCAGAACUCUUUUCAUCUUAACAAACUGAAACUCUCUAUCCAUUAGAUAAUAACUCCCUUCCCUCCAGCCCCUUGCAAGCACCAUUCUACUACUAAUGCUGCUAUGAACAUGGGUAUACAAAUAUCUAUUUGAGAACCUGCUUUCAAUAUUUUGAACAUAUACCCAGAACUGAAAUUGCUGCAUCAUAUGGUAAUUCUAUUUUUAAUUAUUUUAAGGAAUCACCAUACUAUUUCCCACAGCUGCAAUACCAUUUUUGGUUUUUAACAACAUUGCAUAAGGGUUCCAGUUUUUCUACAUCCUUGCCAACACCUAUUAUUUUCUUUUUUUUUUUUAUAAUAGCCAUCUUAAUGAGUAUAAGGUGAUAUCUCAUUGUAGCUUUUAUUUGCAUUUCUCUAAUCAUUAAUGAGGUUGAAUCUUCUUAUGUGCUUAUUGCCUCUUUGUAUAUCUCUGUGGAAAAA